GUGGGGAAUAUUGGACAAUGGGCGAAAGCCUGAUCCAGCCAUGCCGCGUGUGUGAAGAAGGUCUUCGGAUUGUAAAGCACUUUAAGUUGGGAGGAAGGGCAGUAAGUUAAUACCUUGCUGUUUUGACGUUACCGACAGAAUAAGCACCGGCUAACUUCGUGCCAGCAGCCGCGGUAAUACGAAGGGUGCAAGCGUUAAUCGGAAUUACUGUGCGUAAAGCGCGCGUAGGUGGUUUUGUAAGUUGGAGGUGAAAUCCACGGGCUCAAACUGGGAACUGCCUACGAAACUGCAUGGCUAGAGUACGGUAGAGGGUAGUGGAAUUUCCUGUGUAGCGGUGAAAUGCGUAGAUAUAGGAAGGAACACCAGUGGCGAAGGCGACUACCUGGACUGAUACUGACACUGAGGUGCGAAAGCGUGGGGAGCAAACAGGAUUAGAUACCCCAGUAGUCC
Molecule: ribosomal RNA, 450 nt
Filed under: uncultured bacterium
Lineage: Bacteria
Description: partial 16S ribosomal RNA
Rfam family: Bacterial small subunit ribosomal RNA
Source: RNAcentral